Molecule: ribosomal RNA, 421 nt
Filed under: uncultured bacterium
Lineage: Bacteria
Description: partial 16S ribosomal RNA
Rfam family: Bacterial small subunit ribosomal RNA
Source: RNAcentral
AUAGUGGACAAUGGGCGAAAGCCGGAUCCAGCCAUGCCGCGUGUGGGAAGAAGGUCUUCGGCUCGUAAAGCACUUUAAGUUGGGGGGAAGGGCAGUAACGUAAUACCUUGCUGUUUUGACGGUACCGGUCGCAUAAGAAACGGCUAACUUCGUGCCAGCAGCCCCGGUAAUACGAAGGGUGCAAGCGUUAAGCGGAAUUACUGGGCGUAAAGCGCGCGUAGGUGGUUUGUUAAGUAGGAAGUGAAAGCACGGGGCUCAACCUGGGAACUGCUUUCAAAACUGGCAAGCUAGAGUAUGGCAGAGGGUGGUGGAAUUUCCUGUGUGGCGGUGAAAUGCGUAGAUAUAGGAAGGAACACCAGUGGCGAAGGCGACCACCUGGGCUAAUACUGACACUGAGGUGCGAAAGCGUGGGGAGCAAACA